UACGGAGGGGCUAGCGUUGUUCGGAAUUACUGGGCGUAAAGCGCGCGUAGGCGGACCUGCAAGUCGGGGGUGAAAGCCCGAGGCUCAACCUCGGAACUGCCUUCGAUACUGCGGGUCUCGAGUCCGGAGAGGUGAGUGGAAUUCCUAGUGUAGAGGUGAAAUUCGUAGAUAUUCGGAAGAACACCAGUGGCGAAGGCGGCUCACUGGCCCGGUACUGGACGCUGAGGUGCGAAAACGUGGGGAGCAAACAGGG
Molecule: ribosomal RNA, 253 nt
Filed under: uncultured bacterium
Lineage: Bacteria
Description: partial 16S ribosomal RNA
Rfam family: Bacterial small subunit ribosomal RNA
Source: RNAcentral